This is a non-coding RNA of Nerophis lumbriciformis (worm pipefish), 385 nucleotides long. Lineage: Eukaryota; Metazoa; Chordata; Actinopteri; Syngnathiformes; Syngnathidae. The record is from RefSeq and is a predicted model, not a curated record.
AGUCAGCCUGGCAACAUGAACUCUGUUUGACUUCUGCUACCCAUGUUACCCAUGCUGCCAUAGUUCCAUGCCAAGUGUACCUAAUGAAGUGACCAAGGGCUCCAUGAGGACUGCAGACUGUUUGUUGUCGUUGCAGAAAAGGACACACAUGAUGAGUUGAUCGCCAUGACGGGGGGGCUUCCUGCGUGUUGAAACAUCUGGGGUGGUAACUUCAGGGAGACCCCGGCUCGCCCACGGCGCCGCUAUUGGCUCAUCGCUGACGUGAUUCCACGGAGGAGUCGGCUUGAAGACUUUAUAAAAGCUUCCCUGCGCGCUGCGAGUCACUCUCUGUGAAAGCAAUCUUGCAGAAAGAUCAUCACACCUCCACACCAAAAGGCGCACCAUG